This is a long non-coding RNA of Oreochromis aureus, 732 nucleotides long. RefSeq lists it as uncharacterized. The record is from RefSeq and is a predicted model, not a curated record. NCBI's taxonomy places the organism in Eukaryota, Metazoa, Chordata, Actinopteri, Cichliformes, Cichlidae. The transcript has 5 exons.
CAAGUGUGACAUCAGCGGUCAUGGAGAGUCUCCAUCCAGCUGGAUCACUGUCACAGACAAACACACCACCACACCUCCACCUACAUCCACUCCUCCACCUGGAUCUAACUCUCCUCCUGGUUCCACCUCCAUCAUUCUUCCUCCGUCACUCUCUCCUCCUCUUCUCUCUGUGUUUUCAUUUGUUGUAUCAGUCUGUGUUGUGGUUCUACUGGUGUUACUGGUUCUGCUGGUGAGACGAUGUGUUCACAGGAAACCUGAAGCAGAUCAACAAGCUGGAGAAGAUGACAUCAUCACACGCGUCAUGUACUAUGCUGUCAAAAUACAAAGUAGAGCUGCAGUCCAUUCAGCAGUGAGAACUUACCAACCAGAAACCAUCUGAACAAAGAAGGCCCAGACUUUAAACCAGAGCCAGACGUCGUCUACUCUUCACUGAAGUAGUCCACCAGUCCAACCACUGACGUUCAGCUGCUGGUCUCUAACUGGUCCCCCCAGCACCUCAGUCUUUUGAACAUCCACAUGUUCAAAAGACUUUCUGUGUAUUUUAUGUGUUUCUUUGGCUUAUUUAGACUCACAUACUUUAAAAAAAAUCAUAUAAUCUUAAUUGAUAUAAGUGGCUAAAAUCAGUAAUGAUAAUAAAAAGUAUGCUAAUAUGUUUAAUGCUUACAAUAAGGUCACCUUGCUUUUGUAAUGCUGGUAGUGGUCUCGUUUGUUUGCAUCAUUAAUAAAUACACU